CCUGGGACUCCAGCGUGCUAGCAGGCAAGAAUCCAGAAGAAUCCCAGGGCCUGAGAAAAUCUAGAUGGACAGAGACCUAAAGGGAUUAUUCUGAUGACUUAAAAAGAGGAGCCCAGAUUUCCUGCCUGAGUGUGCUUUGUGGACCCGAAUGAUUGCUGGACUCUUGUAUACAUGCACCCUGGACAGCACAUUCUGGAGGAAUCCUUGGGGAUCAAGUUGUACAGAAUAUCCAUGGGCUACAAAAUCUACAUCCUACUAGAAGAGAGAUGGUCAGAAGGUACACGGUUGCCCAGCUUCCAGAACACGCUGCAGAUCUUACGACUCCUGGAAUUCUGAGUUCCAGGUGGAUGGUUAUACUAUUGUGCCGCGUAGACUAACUUUUCAAAGGCUCUUGACAGAAGAAAGGAUUUUCAGUAGCAUUUCAAAUGGCAUACCCGAGGCCUAUAAGGGUCAUAGUUUGCCCUGCCUCUCCGGUAUCCAGGUUUCUACUUUCUGUAUCACAUUCUCAGGCAUGUGGAAGGAGCUUUUGGUUCCCAGGCAAGCAGGAUAAAUCCAGGUCAGAAGGGUUCUGGGAAUAUAGAAAAG
Molecule: long non-coding RNA, 585 nt
Filed under: Capra hircus (goat)
Lineage: Eukaryota; Metazoa; Chordata; Mammalia; Artiodactyla; Bovidae
Description: lncRNA (ENSCHIG00000004308.1)
Source: RNAcentral